UACGUAGGCAGCGAGCGUUGUUCGGAAUUACUGGGCGUAAAGAGUGUGUAGGCGGUGUUCCAAGUCUGGUGUGAAAUCUCCCGGCUCAACUGGGAGGGUGCGCCGGAAACUGGGAUGCUAGAGGGUGGGAGAGGUAAGCGGAAUUCCUGGUGUAGCGGUGAAAUGCGUAGAUAUCAGGAGGAACACCUGUGGUGUAGACAGCUUACUGGACCACUUCUGACGCUGAGACACGAAAGCGUGGGUAGCAAACAGG
This 253-nucleotide ribosomal RNA is filed under the name uncultured bacterium. RNAcentral's name for it is "partial 16S ribosomal RNA". It matches the Rfam family "Bacterial small subunit ribosomal RNA", at positions 524 to 776 of the family's 1533-position model. The record is from RNAcentral.